GAUGAACGCUGGCGGCGUGCCUAAUACAUGCAAGUCGAGCGAACAGAUGAGGAGCUUGCUCCUCUGACGUUAGCGGCGGACGGGUGAGUAACACGUGGAUAACCUACCUAUAAGACUGAGAUAACUUCGGGAAACCGGAGCUAAUACCGGAUAAUAUAUUGAACCGCAUGGUUCAAUAGUGAAAGACGGUUUUGCUGUCACUUAUAGAUGGAUCCGCGCCGCAUUAGCUAGUUGGUAAGGUAACGGCUUACCAAGGCAACGAUGCGUAGCCGACCUGAGAGGGUGAUCGGCCACACUGGAACUGAGACACGGUCCAGACUCCUACGGGAGGCAGCAGUAGGGAAUCUUCCGCAAUGGGCGAAAGCCUGACGGAGCAACGCCGCGUGAGUGAUGAAGGUCUUCGGAUCGUAAAACUCUGUUAUUAGGGAAGAACAAAUGUGUAAGUAACUAUGCACGUCUUGACGGUACCUAAUCAGAAAGCCACGGCUAACUACGUG
RNAcentral lists this ribosomal RNA (497 nucleotides) under uncultured bacterium. RNAcentral describes it as "partial 16S ribosomal RNA". It matches the Rfam family "Bacterial small subunit ribosomal RNA", at positions 28 to 507 of the family's 1533-position model. The record is from RNAcentral.